Molecule: long non-coding RNA, 4949 nt
Filed under: Canis lupus familiaris (dog)
Lineage: Eukaryota; Metazoa; Chordata; Mammalia; Carnivora; Canidae
Description: lncRNA (ENSCAFG00845025290.1)
Source: RNAcentral
UUUUUUUUUUUUUUUUUUUUUUUUUGAGUAAUGUAGGCCAGUUAAUUUAUUUAUGGAAUGUCUGUCAAUAUGGGUUUGUGUGAUGUGUCAGAUGACUACAUUCAGGUUGCGGCAUUUGGGGCUGAGAUACCAAGAGAUGAGGUUUUAUCCUUUUCACGGUAUCAUGUUGGAGGCAAAUCACCUUUUUUGGUGAUGUUAGUUUUGAUCACUUGGUUAAAGUUUUGUCUGUUUUCUCCACUAUAUAGCUAAUGUUUUUCCUUUUGUAAUAACUAAUUUGUAGUAAGAUACUUCAAUAUAAUAUAAACUGUUCUUCAUCAACUUUCCUCCAUUAAAUUUAGCAUUCUCUGGUGAUUACAUUUUUUCUCUGACGCUUGCAAAAUGGUAUUUUUUAAAAAUCCCAUCAUUUGUUAGUUGACAAACUCCUAUAGAAAAGGACAUUCUAUCCUUAUUUAUCAUUAUAGACUCAUGAAUCCUUGUUUUGUUCAGUAGAUUUUGAUUCAUUAUUUUCUUAUUUGUUUUGAGCUCAAAUUAUCCCUGCAAGAUGUUCCAGGCUCAUUUUUUUAAACUUUCCUCUUCCUGCUAUGGAAAUGUAAGGCAUCAUUAUAAAUAAAUAAUUUCCCAACAAACCUACGAAAUAGGUACUAUUACUGUUUCUAUCAUAUGGCUGAAGGAACUAAAGAGAGAUUAAAUACAUACCCCAAAGUCAUGGAGCUAUGAUGUGGUGAAACCAUCGACAUAGCUGCUUCUAGUCUUCUCACUCUCCCUACCCCCAACCACCCCCUAAAUCUACUCUUCACAAAGUUAACAGAAUGAUGUGCCUCAGAUGAAAACACUGAAUCUCUCCCACCACACAACAAUGCCUGGGCACGUUAAAUAUUUGAUAAAGUUGAAUGGAAUUAAAUUGACAAAGAGUUAAUGAAUAAACCCUAUCACUAUUUUCUCUGUAGCUAUUUUUUUUUCAGUCAUUUAGCCCAAGGAGCAUAAAAGGGAUUCCUAACAUGAAGUGAGAGGAGAAGAAACAGAGGAUGCUGUCAAACCUUUAGGGCAGAAGUGAAGAUCUCUCUUAGAAUAUCUACCCCUAUGGCCAAUAUGGAUGUACUCCUCACCCACCCCCCACCUCGUAACCUCUGCUUCUAUAUCUGAAAUCCCACCAUAAUGACCUCACACUGGCCUUGUGCUCAGAACUCUUUCCUUUUCCCAAGCCAAUAUCCCACCCUUGAAUCCCUGACUUGACCCCCAGUCACCACCCUGUGUCUUCAUUUACUUCUUUAUCUAACUUAGAUCCAAUGGUUCAGAAAUGCGCAUACUCCUCAAACUCUAGUCUCAGCUUCCUAACUAUUCUUUCCCUGCAAGUUCUCAGUCUUGGAGGAAUUCACAUAUCUCACUCCUUCCCUGAAAUGCCUGAGCCCUUCUGGAGAAAAAUCACGCAAUAAGGAUGCUUGGCAAGUUUCAGCAAGCUUCUGACCUGAAUCCUGAUCAGCUGCUUCUCCUCCAUACCCCUCAACCUUGAUUCUAAGUUGUUAUCUAUCUAUAUUCUUUCCCCAUCACACCCUUUCACUGACCACCCCCUACAACUGGGGGAAAGUCCAGGCUUUUGAGCAGAAGCAAUACCUCAAUUUAAUCCAUAUGUACCAGGUAGCCCGGGUGGCUCAGCGGUUUAGCGCCGCCUGCAGCCCAGGGCAUGAUCCUGGAGACCCUGGACCCCUCUGCCUGUGUCUCUGCCUCUUUCUCUUUGUGUGUCUCUCAUAAAUAAAUAAAUAAAAUCUUUGAAAAAAAAAAUCCAUAUGUACCCGCCUUUACUUCCUUUCUUCUUUGUCUUAAUGAAGAAGUGACUUUUAACUUUUACAAAACCUAACUUGUGCUCUGGAUCCCAGCUUGUACUACAACUUUCCUCCAUUAAAUUAUAUCUUCUUUUUCCUGCAUGCUUCAUCUCACUAUUAUUCUGUAUAUCUUCUCUUUUAUUGCUUUCUCUUCAGCCAUAUAAAUAAGCUCAGUUCUCUCUUACCUUUAAAAGUAAAACAUCCUCCUACAUCUUCCCUUUGUCUGUUGCCAUAUUGUUUUAAUUUCUCCCAUGAUUAAAAUAUUUGAAAUAGUUUACACUCACUGCCUCCACUUUUCUCACUUCCCUUUUGUCCCUCGAACCACUUCAGUUUACCAUCUGCCUGUACCAUCUCACUGAAACUACCUUCUCCAAGGCCACCCAUGACCUCUUAGUUGCUAAAUUCAUUGGAUACUUUUCUUUUUUUUCUUUUAAAGAUUUUAUUUAUUUGUUCAUGAGAGACAGAGAGACAGAGACGCAGGCAGAGGGAGAAGCAGGCUCCAUGCAGGGAGCCCAACGUGGGACUUGAUCCCAGGUCUCCAGGAUCACGCCCUGGGUCGAAGGCAGGCGCUAAACUGCUGAGCCACCGGGCUGCCCUCAUUGGAUACUUUUCAGGCCUUAUCUUACCUAACAGCACCCUCACCUUUAUCCUGUUUUUCCUUCAAAAACAUAUCAUUAGACAUUGAGGAUACUAUACUGAACCAAACAUAACUGACCUUGUCCUUAUGGAAUGCAUGGUCCAGGAGAAACAGACAUUAAACAAAGAAUCACACGGUUAAUUAUUAAAUGUAAAUGUGAUAUGCUACAAAGAAAAAAUUAAUAUUUUAUUUAUUUAUUCAUGAGACACACAGAGAGAGACAGAGACAUAGGCAGAGACAGAAGCAAGGUCCCCAUGGGGAACCUGAUACUGGACUCAAUCCCAGGACCCCGGGAUCACGACCUGAGAUGAAGGCAGAUGCUCAACCACUGAGCCACCCAGGUGCCCCGCUACAAAGAAAAUUUAAAUAUUCUUAGAAUAGAGGAUCUAGCCUAAUGUAGAAAAGAAAUGAUAAAAACAAAACUUGUAGAAAUGGCACUUAAACUGAGAUCUGAAGAAUGAAUAGCAGCCCAAUUAGAGGUGGUAGAGAAGAGAAAAACUUUCUAGACUAAGAAAACAAAAUGGAAGAGCCCUAAGAAGAGCAGGAGGGUAGACUAUUUGUAUUUGGGCAAUGUUAAAAAAAAAAAAAAGGCAAUGUGACUGGAUCAAAGAGAAUGAGGGGAUUCCAGAUGGGGUUGGAGAUGAGGACAUAGGUGUGAAGAAAUCACUCAAAAUUUUAGAUCAUGUUAUGAAAUUUGGAUUUUAUUCUAAGAAUGACUUGUUGCCAUUGAAGAAUUUUAAAUAGGAAUAUAGUGGGAUCAGAUUUCACUCCAGAGCCCCCAACCAUCAGUGCAAAUAAUGGCAACUUGGACUAGGGCAAAGGCAAACUUGGACAGGGAUGCAUACAGAUUAAAGGUACAUUUAGGAGCUAUAAUGAUGAGACCCUGAAAUUUAUUGCCCUGGGGGGUAUCAGUAACAAAGAAAACUAAUAAGGAUAAAACCUAAAUUUCUAACUCAAGCAACUGAGUAGAUGAUGCUAUUGUUUGCCAAGAUAAGGAAUAUAGGGGAAGGCAUUUCCUUGGAAGUAAAAAUUGUGAGUUUGAGGCACCUCCAGACAUGUGGAGAUGUCCCUGUGGAUAUAUAGGCUUAAAGUUCAAGAGCAACUCUGGGCUGAAGAAAUAAACUGAAGAGUCAUCAGCAAAUGGAAGGGAGCUGAGGCCAAAGGAGGAUAAGAUACUGGCUAGAGACACAGAAGAGUGAGGAAAAGCCUUGAGUUUACCUACCUACGCAUACCCUCUGCUCUACAGCCAUCUGAACUACUAGUUCUUUAUAUGACCUAUUCUUUCUCUGUCUUUUAUUUCUUUGCACAUACUAUUCCCUCUUGAUUCACCUUUCUCAUCUCUUCUUUGCUCUUAUUUCAAAAUUCAAUUGAGGUGCUAACUCCUCCAUAAAGUUUUCCCUUGUCUUCCCAUUGGUUAGAUGCUGCUACUAUCUGAUCUUAGAAUUCCUUAUCCAUAGUUCUAAUAUAACACUCAUCAACCACACUGCAGUAUGUUUGGCCCUCUACUAGACCAUAAAUUUCUCGAGGACAGAACUUCCACUUAUUUCUCGGUUCUAGGGCCUAGCACAGAGCAAACACAUAGCAAUCAUCUCAAUGUACACUUGGAAAAGACAAAAAAGGUCUGCUGGGGAAAGCUCCCUGUGUGGGUCAUGUAAUCUUUGACUGUUAGAGCCAGAAUGAACUUUGGAUGUUUCUACUCCAGCGUAUUUUACUGAGGUGGGGGGUAGAGGCUCAGGCCCAAUCACAUAUUAAUAAGAGGCAGAAACAUAUUGAGAAUCUAUAGUUUUCUGGCUCCCAGGCUAGUAGUUUUCCUAUCGUUGGAUUACCAACAACCCUAGAAACUACUCACUCAGUGACUUGCAUGUAAAAUGUAUGCAUGUGGGCCUUUUUUUAAAGGCAAAAUACUAAAAAAUCCUAAAAGAUGGGAUAUGAAAAUGUUGAAAAAGACACCUCUUUUAAAGGUGGACUUCUUAAAAGAUAUGUAUACAGGUACAAACGUGUAACUGAAAUGACCUAAGAGCUAUAGAACAAAUUCAGCACCUAUACCACUAUUGAGUUUCUGCGUGAUCAAUAAAAGCAAAAAGAUGUCUACAUUGUGUAGAUUGCUCAUAUGUGGUCCUGUCUAGGUGGGGACUGGGUACAGGAGAUUGACUAGUUCAUUAACAACAACAACAACAAUAAUAAUGGCAACUGGUAUUUAUCGAAUCUCACCAUGCCUGAGUGCUGGGAUGAAUUCUUUCAUGCAUUAAUUCAUUUGAUCAUCUCGUCAAAGCCCUAUGAGGAGGUUAGAGAUGUUACUGCCUAAGGUCACAUGGUUAGUUGGUAGGCAACCAGCGAUUCGAUCCUGGAGGUGUGACUAUAAAAGUAUGUUUUAAAACACUGGGCUCUCCCGCUUUUAAUUAGUUAAGCCUAUAUAUCCUUUCCGUGUACACAGCUCGGAUUGCUAGUGUAUUCUUCUUGUUGAUCUUUCUUUUAGAAAAAAAAAAAAAAAA